RNAcentral lists this ribosomal RNA (301 nucleotides) under uncultured bacterium. Its description in RNAcentral is "partial 16S ribosomal RNA". It matches the Rfam family "Bacterial small subunit ribosomal RNA", at positions 509 to 808 of the family's 1533-position model. The record is from RNAcentral.
CAGUAGCCGCGGGAAAACGUAGGUGGCAAGCGUUGUCCGGAAUUAUUGGGCGUAAAGGGCUCGCAGGCGGUUUCUUAAGUCUGAUGUGAAAGCCCCCGGCUCAACCGGGGAGGGUCAUUGGAAACUGGGAAACUUGAGUGCAGAAGAGGAGAGUGGAAUUCCACGUGUAGCGGUGAAAUGCGUAGAGAUGUGGAGGAACACCAGUGGCGAAGGCGACUCUCUGGUCUGUAACUGACGCUGAGGAGCGAAAGCGUGGGGAGCGAACAGGAUUAGAGACCCCUGUAGUCCCUGUCUCUUUACC